RNAcentral lists this ribosomal RNA (830 nucleotides) under Septoriella poae. RNAcentral's name for it is "eukaryotic LSU rRNA". It matches the Rfam family "Eukaryotic large subunit ribosomal RNA", at positions 86 to 933 of the family's 3401-position model. The record is from RNAcentral. Lineage: Eukaryota; Fungi; Ascomycota; Dothideomycetes; Pleosporales; Phaeosphaeriaceae.
ACGGCGAGUGAAGCGGCAACAGCUCAAAUUUGAAAUCUGGCCCUUUUAGGGUCCGAGUUGUAAUUUGCAGAGGGCGCUUUGGCGUUGGCAGCGGUCCAAGUUCUUUGGAACAGGACGUCACAGAGGGUGAGAAUCCCGUACGUGGUCGCUAGCCUUGGCCGUGUAAAGCCCCUUCGACGAGUCGAGUUGUUUGGGAAUGCAGCUCUAAAUGGGAGGUAAAUUUCUUCUAAAGCUAAAUACUGGCCAGAGACCGAUAGCGCACAAGUAGAGUGAUCGAAAGAUGAAAAGCACUUUGGAAAGAGAGUCAAAUAGCACGUGAAAUUGUUGAAAGGGAAGCGCUUGCAGCCAGACUUGCCUGUAGUUGCUUAUCCGGACUUUUGUCCGGUGCACUCUUCUGCGGGCAGGCCAGCAUCAGUUUAGGCGGUUGGAUAAAGGUCUCUAUCACGUACCUCCCUUCGGGGUUGGCCUUAUAGGGGAGACGACAUGCAACCAGCCUGAACUGAGGUCCGCGCAUCUGCUAGGAUGCUGGCGUAAUGGCUGUAAGCGGCCCGUCUUGAAACACGGACCAAGGAGUCUAACAUCUAUGCGAGUGUUUGGGUGUCAAGCCCAGACGCGUAAUGAAAGUGAACGGAGGUGGGAACCUUUUUAGGUGCACCAUCGACCGAUCCUGAUGUCUUCGGAUGGAUUUGAGUAAGAGCAUGGCUGUUGGGACCCGAAAGAUGGUGAACUAUGCUUGAAUAGGGUGAAGCCAGAGGAAACUCUGGUGGAGGCUCGCAGCGGUUCUGACGUGCAAAUCGAUCGUCAAAUUUGGGCAUAGGGGCGAAAGACUA